GGGCCUGUAGUUCAGUUGGUAGAACGUCCGCCUUGCACGCGGAAGCUCACCGGUUCGAAUCCGGUCAGGUCCA
RNAcentral lists this transfer RNA (73 nucleotides) under Candidatus Roizmanbacteria bacterium. RNAcentral describes it as "tRNA-Ala". It matches the Rfam family "tRNA". From Rfam's summary of the family: Transfer RNA (tRNA) molecules are approximately 80 nucleotides in length. The record is from RNAcentral. Lineage: Bacteria; Candidatus Roizmaniibacteriota.